CACGUAGGGGGCAAGCGUUGUUCGGAAUUAUUGGGCGUAAAGGGCAUGUAGGCGGUUUGGUAAGCCUGAUGUGAAAUCCUGCAGCUUAACUGUAGAAUUGCAUUGGGUACUGCCGAACUUGAAUCACUGAGGGGAAACUAGAAUUCCAGGUGUAGGGGUGGAAUCUGUAGAUAUCUGGAAGAAUACCGGUGGCGAAGGCGGGUUUCUAGCAGAUGAUUGACGCUGAGGUGCGAAAGUGCGGGGAGCGAACAGGAUUAGAUACCCUGGUA
Molecule: ribosomal RNA, 269 nt
Filed under: uncultured prokaryote
Description: partial 16S ribosomal RNA
Rfam family: Bacterial small subunit ribosomal RNA
Source: RNAcentral